GCCCACGUAGCUCACUUGGUAGAGCAGGGCUUUCGUAAAGCUCAGGUAGUGGGUUCGAAUCCCUCCGUGGGCUCCA
Molecule: transfer RNA, 76 nt
Filed under: Candidatus Omnitrophota bacterium
Lineage: Bacteria; Pseudomonadati; Candidatus Omnitrophota
Description: tRNA-Thr
Rfam family: tRNA
About the family: Transfer RNA (tRNA) molecules are approximately 80 nucleotides in length.
Source: RNAcentral